GACGUAGGGGGCCAGCGUUGCUCGGAAUUACUGGGUGUAAAGGGUUCGUAGGCGGUGUGGCAAGUCGGGAGUGAAAUCUCUGGGCUCAACCCAGAGUCUGCUUCCGAAACUGCUGUGCUUGAGUGUGGGAGAGGCGCGUGGAAUUGCAGGUGUAGCGGUGAAAUGCGUAGAUAUCUGCAGGAACACCCGUGGCGAAAGCGGCGCGCUGGACCACUACUGACGCUGAGGAACGAAAGCUAGGGGAGCAAACAGG
RNAcentral lists this ribosomal RNA (253 nucleotides) under uncultured bacterium. RNAcentral's name for it is "partial 16S ribosomal RNA". It matches the Rfam family "Bacterial small subunit ribosomal RNA", at positions 524 to 776 of the family's 1533-position model. The record is from RNAcentral.